UGGGGAAUUUUGCACAAUGGGGGAAACCCUGAUGCAGCGACGCCGCGUGAGCGAAGAAGGCUUUCGAGUCGUAAAGCUCUGUCCUAUGAGAAGAUAAUGACGGUAUCAUAGGAGGAAGCCCUGGCUAAAUACGUGCAAGCAGCCGCGGUAAUACGUAUGGGGCGAGCGUUGUCCGGAAUUAUUGGGCGUAAAGGGUACGUAGGUGGUUUUUUAAGUCAGGUGUCAAAGCGUGGAGCUUAACUCCAUUAAGCACUUGAAACUGAAAGACUUGAGUGAAGGAGAGGAAAGUGGAAUUCCUAGUGUAGCGGUGAAAUGCGUAGAUAUUAGGAGGAAUACCGGUGGCGAAGGCGACUUUCUGGACUUUUACUGACGCUCAGGUACGAAAGCGUGGGGAGCAAACAGG
This 403-nucleotide ribosomal RNA is filed under the name Verrucomicrobiota bacterium. RNAcentral describes it as "Verrucomicrobia bacterium partial 16S ribosomal RNA". It matches the Rfam family "Bacterial small subunit ribosomal RNA", at positions 355 to 776 of the family's 1533-position model. Lineage: Bacteria; Pseudomonadati; Verrucomicrobiota. The record is from RNAcentral.